RNAcentral lists this ribosomal RNA (255 nucleotides) under uncultured bacterium. Its description in RNAcentral is "partial 16S ribosomal RNA". It matches the Rfam family "Bacterial small subunit ribosomal RNA", at positions 524 to 776 of the family's 1533-position model. The record is from RNAcentral.
UACGUAGGGUGCGAGCGUUGUCCGGAAUUAUUGGGCGUAAAGAGCUUGUAGGUGGUUUGUCGCGUCUGCUGUGAAAAUCCGAGGCUCAACCUCGGACUUGCAGUGGGUACGGGCAGACUAGAGUGUGGUAGGGGGAGACUGGAAUUCCCUGGUGUAGCGGUGGAAUGCGCAGAUAUCAGGAGGAACACCGAUGGCGAAGGCAGGUCUCUGGGCCAUUACUGACACUGAGAAGCGAAAGCAUGGGGAGCGAACAGG